Molecule: ribosomal RNA, 845 nt
Filed under: uncultured fungus
Lineage: Eukaryota; Fungi
Description: SSU rRNA
Rfam family: Eukaryotic small subunit ribosomal RNA
Source: RNAcentral
AGAUUAGCCAUGCAUGUCUAAGUAUAAACUACUUUAUACAGUGAAACUGCGAUGGCUCAUUAAAUCAGUUAUAGUUUAUUUGAUAUUAACUUACUACUUGGAUAACCGUGGUAAUUCUGCAGCUAAUACAUGCGUUAAACCCCGACUUCUGGAAGGGGCGUACUUAUUAGAUUUAAGCCAACCCUAGCAAUAGGAUUAAGGUUGAUUCAUGAUAAUUUUUCGAAUCGUAUGACUUUGUGUCGACGAUGGUUCAUUCAAAUUUCUGCCCUAUCAACUUUCGAUUGUAGUGUAUUGGACUACAAUGGUUUCAACGGGUAACGGAGAAUUAGGGUUCGAUUCCGGAGAGGGAGCCUGAGAAACGGCUACCACAUCCAAGGAAGGCAGCAGGCGCGCAAAUUACCCAAUCCUGAUACAGGGAGGUAGUGACAAUAAAUAACAAUACAGAACUUUCGAGUUUUGUAAUUGGAAUGAGAACAAUUUAAAUCCCUUAACGAGGAACAAUUGGAGGGCAAGUCUGGUGCCAGCAGCCGCGGUAAUUCCAGCUCCAAUAGCGUAUAUUCAAGUUGUUGCAGUUAAAAAGCUCGUAGUUGAAUUUUGGCGCUGGUCGUGUGGUUUGGACUAACGUUCAACACUGCAGGACUGGGGCUUUCCUUCUAGGGAACUAGUGUGCCAUUAACUUGGUGGGCUAGGGAUCUAGGACUGUUACUUUGAAAAAAUUAGAGUGUUUAAAACAGGCUUAUGCUUGAAUACAUUAGCAUGGAAUAACGGAAUAGGACUUUGUCUUAUUUUGUUGGUUUAGGAGACAAAGUAAUGAUUAAUAGGGACGGUUAGGGGCAUUAGUAUUC